Molecule: ribosomal RNA, 253 nt
Filed under: uncultured bacterium
Lineage: Bacteria
Description: partial 16S ribosomal RNA
Rfam family: Bacterial small subunit ribosomal RNA
Source: RNAcentral
UACAGAGGGUGCAAGCGUUGCUCGGAUUUACUGGGUGUAAAGCGUACGCAGACGGUGAGAACGGUCGGAUGUGAAAGCCCCGGGCUCAACCCGGGAACUGCAUCCGAAACCAUCUCGCUAGAGUAUGGGAGAGGGAAGCGGAAUUCCUGGUGUAGAGGUGAAAUUCGUAGAUAUCAGGAGGAACAUCUGCGGCGAAGGCGGCUUCCUGGCCCAUUACUGACGUUCAGGUACGAAAGCGUGGGUAGCAAACAGG